RNAcentral lists this ribosomal RNA (1022 nucleotides) under Pleurocordyceps sinensis. RNAcentral's name for it is "SSU rRNA". It matches the Rfam family "Eukaryotic small subunit ribosomal RNA", at positions 72 to 1105 of the family's 1831-position model. The record is from RNAcentral. Lineage: Eukaryota; Fungi; Ascomycota; Sordariomycetes; Hypocreales; Polycephalomycetaceae.
CAUUAUACGGCGAAACUGCGAAUGGCUCAUUAUAUAAGUUAUCGUUUAUUUGAUAGCACUUUACUACUUGGAUAACCGUGGUAAUUCUAGAGCUAAUACAUGCUAAAAAUCCCGACUUCGGAAGGGAUGUAUUUAUUAGAUUAAAAGCCAAUGCCCUCUGGGCUCUCUGGUGAAUCAUGAUAACUGCUCGAAUCGCAGGGCCUCGUGCCGGCGAUGGUUCAUUCAAAUUUCUUCCCUAUCAACUUUCGAUGUUUGGGUAUUGGCCAAACAUGGUUACAACGGGUAACGGAGGGUUAGGGCUCGACCCCGGAGAAGGAGCCUGAGAAACGGCUACUACAUCCAAGGAAGGCAGCAGGCGCGCAAAUUACCCAAUCCCGACACGGGGAGGUAGUGACAAUAAAUACUGAUACAGGGCUCUUUCGGGUCUUGUAAUUGGAAUGAGUACAAUUUAAAUCCCUUAACAAGGAACAAUUGGAGGGCAAGUCUGGUGCCAGCAGCCGCGGUAAUUCCAGCUCCAAUAGCGUAUAUUAAAGUUGUUGUGGUUAAAAAGCUCGUAGUUGACCCUUGGGCCUGGCUGGCCGGUCCGCCUCACCGCGUGUACUGGUCCGGCCGGGCCUUUCCCUCUGUGGAACCCCAUGCCCUUCACUGGGCGUGGCGGGGAAACAGGACUUUUACUUUGAAAAAAUUAGAGUGCUCCAGGCAGGCCUAUGCUCGAAUACAUUAGCAUGGAAUAAUAGAAUAGGACGUGCGGUUCUAUUUUGUUGGUUUCUAGGACCGCCGUAAUGAUUAAUAGGGACAGUCGGGGGCAUCAGUAUUCAAUUGUCAGAGGUGAAAUUCUUGGAUCUAUUGAAGACUAACUACUGCGAAAGCAUUUGCCAAGGAUGUUUUCAUUAAUCAAGAACGAAAGUUAGGGGAUCGAAGACGAUCAGAUACCGUCGUAGUCCUGACCGUAAACUAUGCCGACUAGGGAUCGGACGAUGUUAUUUUUUGACUCGUUCGGCACCUUACGAGAAAUCAAAGUG